This 426-nucleotide ribosomal RNA is filed under the name uncultured bacterium. RNAcentral describes it as "bacterial SSU rRNA". It matches the Rfam family "Bacterial small subunit ribosomal RNA", at positions 355 to 774 of the family's 1533-position model. The record is from RNAcentral.
UCGAGAAUUUUUCACAAUGGGCGCAAGCCUGAUGGAGCGACGCCGCGUGGGGGAUGAAGGGCUUCGGCUCGUAAACCCCUGUCAUUUGCGAACAAGGGCGCCAACCUAACAUGUUGUCGCUUGAUAGUAGCAGAAGAGGAAGGGACGGCUAACUCUGUGCCAGCAGCCGCGGUAAUACAGAGGUCCCAAGCGUUGUUCGGAUUCACUGGGCGUAAAGGGUGCGUAGGUGGCGAUUUAAGUCGGGUGUGAAAUCUCCGGGCUCAACCCGGAGGGUGCGCCCGAAACUGAGUUGCUAGAGGAUGGGAGGGGAGACUGGAAUUCUCGGUGUAGCAGUGAAAUGCGUAGAUAUCGAGAGGAACACCGGUGGCGAAGGCGAGUCUCUGGACCAUUCCUGACACUGAGGCACGAAAGCCGGGGGAGCAAACA